UCCUCCAGGCUCCCUCUCUUGUUCUGCCCUGUGCCAAGCAGGUGGAAGGUCUAGAAGGGGUGGAAGGGGAGACAGGGAGAUUCCACCCUUGGGGAGUCUCAGUCUGAUGGGGCAAACCCAAAGUAAGACUCGGAGAAGCCCUACACACCAGUGCCCAGCACGUGACAGCCUGGACUCUAGGAAGGGGGUUGAAAUGUUCUAGACUGGAUGGAGUCAGACGGGGAAGGUUUGCUGGGGAGACACUUCUGAGCAGGAGAAGACAAACGGGGAGGAGGAAGAUGGAAGAAGGGAGGGGAACAUCUGAAAGAAUCGUGCAAUGUAUAAAGAGGUUAUGGUGACCACUUGGGGAGAGGGAAGCGUGGCUCAGGGAGCUGAAGUCCCUCAUCUAAGGCUCAUCACUCCAGAGCUGGAUCUCAGGCUCCUAGCCCAUGCAUUGCAUCCCCAUGGGGCAGGAGGGGUUGGGAGGGGGCUGGCCAGAAGUGGAAUGCUAGAAGGAAAGAGGCAGCCGCUCCCUGACCCAUCGCUGUUGAUCAUAAGGGCAGACAAUACGCUAACACAUCUCCCCUUUGCUAGCCCAGCACCAUUCAGGGGCUCCCGAGGCCCCCCACCCCAACUUGGAAAAGAUGGAUGCUCCACGAUGCUCUCACAUUUUCCUGAGAAGGGGACUUCUCAGGACUCUCAGGCGAGUCUCUGAAUGGGCCCAGCUUGAGUCCUCCGCGGCCCCUGCUACCCUAUGUGUCCCCAUUAUAGGUCUGGUGGUAUUGGCUGAGACUCGGAUAUUGCAAGUUACAGAGCCAACUCAAAGUAGCAUUUAAAUAAGAGGACUUUACAAAAGGGACACCAGAGUGUCGUACACAGCCCCAGCGCAGGAGCGCAGUCAUGCCUCAGUCAAGGACAUCGAGGACAGGCAAGCCAGACAGACCCGCGAGCUCCCACCUCCUGCUCUCCACCUGGCAUCUGCAUUCCCGUCUCAUCCUUGGCUUCUCCUUGCAUACCCAGGAAGACCCCCAGAUCCAAGAUGGUGAUUUGGGGUCCCAAGCCCACAUGGGAUCAAUAAAGAACAGCAUGAAGAGAUGGCCUGUAGGCCCCAAUUCCAGGACCUCAAAGUCAGAAUUCUGACCAUCUCAGCUUGGCUUAGGUACCAGUUUUAGUCCAAUCAACCUCAGGCCAGGGCAUCCGGCUGCACUAAACAAAGGCUGUGUGUGCCCUCUACUAUGUGUGAGCAGUAUUUAUGGAAGCCCUUUGUGAAAUUGCCAGCGGAUCCCAGCAAUGCGGAGAGGAAACAGCCAAGGGGGUUGUGUCUCUUCCUGGGCUCAGGGAGGAUGGCCGAAGCCGCCCUCAGGCCAGGCUUGCACGUAAACUCCUGAGGAGGCUGCUCCCUGUGCCAGGGGCACCCGAGGGCUGCUCCUCAGGUGCUGGGGCAGGCAGGGGCUCACCAUAGGUGCUAACCCAGGGGACCUGGGGCCCCUGAGACCCUGGAAUGAGAACUUGGGCACCUAAGAUAAACCCUCCCUUGAUACCAGUCUCCACUGGGUUCUGAAUCUUCCUCCAAUCUCAUUCUCCCCAGCCCUGACUGGACUCUCUCUUAAAACUCCACACGGGCAUCAGAGCCAAGUUGGGGUGGGGUUGUGGGUGGAGGGAACCUCAGUUUCUCCUGGUCUAAGGGCCUGCCCUUGGGUGAGGAGAUAGAUAAGGCUCUGGUGUAGGAGAUCAGACGUACCUCUGUGGUUUCUAAAAAGGGGAAGAGAUGAAAGUCCUAAGUGGUAGAAAGGACCAGAGACAGAGUCACAGAGGUCGUCAUCCUCUUAUAUUAAAUUAUUUGUAGGCAAACUGUCACCAAGGCAUCAAUGGGAGGUCCUGGCCCUGCCCCCAUCCCUGCCGCCAUGGCCAUUCCAUGGAGUUAUCCGUGGCGUUAUCCAUGGCCAGAUGGCGUUAUCCUGGGUGGCUGAGCAGCCCCCAGGAGCGAGGUGUCCACAGGCAGAGAACCAGCAAUGACAUGGGACAUUAGGUGCUGAUGGCUUUGCCAAGCAAGAGAAUUGCAAUUAAGGAUGCAAUGGGUCCCUCCGGGGGCUGUCAGACAAGGAUCCAGAACAAUAGUCAGGAGGCUGGGAGCUUUCUGAAAGCAGGGGCAGUGGGAGCCAGGACAGGGCUGUGGGGGCACAGCCUCCAUCCUCACAGCAAGUCCGUCAGCAGCAGAAAGGUAAUUAACACCUGCAUUUACUCAGUGCCCAGCAGGCCCCCUACUGGAAGGCGGGAGUGCAAUUAUCUCCAUUCUACAGAUAAGAUAGGGAAAGAGCAGAAGAGCAGAGGUUAUGCAACUUGUCUGCAGCUCACAGAUAGUGGAGACGGAAUUCAGGCUCAGCUUCAUCUGGCAUCAAAGUUAGGAUUCAGAACCCCCCUCUACCCCCCUGCAGUGCCCUCUUCUGAGAGUUCCCCAGAUGGGCCUCACCACCCAGGGCCACAGGCAGCACUGCCCCAGCCUGGGGUUUGCAGCUUCAGGUUGGGAAGAGCUCGCCCAGACUCCCUGGCAGCCACAUGGGGACACACCUCUCCUCCCUGGUGUGGGGGAGGAAGAGGAGGAACAGCUGGCCUGGGUGACAAGUGGAGGCCAUUCCAGGGGAGGUGGCAGACGCAGGAAGGUAGGAGGUGAGGAGGGGCACGUGCGUCACCUCAAAGCCUGUGUCUAAGCUCCCCACCCACCUUGCUCAAACCUCCCACCUUGGGGAACUCCCACUCCUGGUCCUCCACCUCGGGCUCUGUGCGGUGACGUCAUCGUCACUAACAAGCUCUCCCUAAUCUAUACUGAACACGCCUGGGGGGGGGGCCCUGCACCACCCCCCAGCCCUGCUUGUUUGCACACGCCCACCAUGCCACCUUGGGGGUCAGGUGGUAUGUGGGAAGCAGCCGGUGAAAAACUGUGCCCUUUGUAGGAGCUGGUCAUAUUGCACCCAAUACAGAGGAUGGGGAGAAGGUCGGGGAGGGGAGAGCAAAGUUGAGAUGAGAGGAAGAUGAGAAACGAGGUGUUCAGAGGCCCCAAAACAGGCAGGCACACCUAGAGGCCAUACUGGCCGCUGGCCGGGCACCUCACGGCAUCAGGGCUGAUCUGGACACUGGGGAGCAGCUGGAAGGGACGGAGGGCCAGAAAGACUGAGUCAUCCAGUCUGGGUUCACACCUGCUCCCUCAGGCUGGGCUUCGAACUUGUCCUGGAAAUACUCUGACCACAAACCGUGCACCCGGGGCCCUGUUCCCUCCGGUUACAGCCCAAGGAGGUGAAGAGUGAUCGAGACCUGAGGCUGCCCGCACUGGUGUCGCUGGUCUGCUGGGAAGAUCCUGGGGAGCUGGAAUCCACAGGGCUCACUCCCAACAGCAAAGCCCCAUCCAAGAGCUGACUAGAGCCCUUAAAGGGGAGUGCUUGUGAGUUCAGACAGGGAACACAAGAGUGAGGGAGUUGAAGGCAACUCCCGACUUCGCCUCGGAAGGCUUGUCCCUUCAUUCCCAGCAGCCUAAGUCUUGGCCAUCCUUCAAAACCCAGCAGAAAGGCCACCUCUUCCAUGAAGCCUUCCCUCCCCUCCAAAUGAAGUUUUCUCCCUCUCUAAAUACUUUACCCACACUUAUCUGCGAGCCUUGCCACGUUCCUCCUUGCAUUGCGCCUCCCUGGCUAGACUUGGGGCUCCAUAGUGCAGAGCCGUCGUCCCAUCUCCAGAGCUCCAUACCGCCCUGCUGGAUGACGGGGGGCGGGGGUGCUGGAGAGGAGGGCUUCACUAAGCAGCAGGACAGGAGGCGGAGUGCUCGCAUCAGAGGGUAGCGGGGUCCAGGACACACUAGCUGAAACAAGACCCAGGAGAGCUGCUGCUUACGACCUGAGCCAGGUUGCAUUUGAGGACCGAAUACAAAGGAAGCCCAUUUCUCCAGAGUCCUGGGCAACUGAGAAACCAAACGCAGUGCCCUCACAGAAGGGGCAAGCGCUAGCUACGGGGGAAUAAGCGUUAAGGGAAAAAACGCCACCACUCUCCACGUGCUUCUGGUAGUGGCGGCGGCAGAAGCAAAAUCAUUUAUUUGUCCAACAGUAUUUUUCAUUUCAGAUGAUCUAUUUUCAUCUUUAUAAGUUCAUUUUCUAAAAACCUUCCAUUUUUCUCCUCAUCGUGUUCAUGUUUUCCUCUACACUUCUGAGCAUAUGGAGCAUAUUUAUAACCGCUGCUUUAGCAUCCUUGUCCGCUAAUUCCAUCAACUUUCCCAUUUGGGGGUCUCUUUCUGUGAACUGAUUUUUCUUCUGGUUAUAGGUCCUAUUUUUCUGCUUCUUUGCAUGGCUGUUAAUUUUCUAUUCGAUGACCAAUAUUGUGAAUUUUCCAUUGGGGUCUAGAUUUUGUCAUAUUCCUCUAAAGAGAGCUGGACUCGGAUCCACCUCACAGUCAUUUGGAGUCACUGUAACCUUUUUAAGUGUUGUCUUUAAGGGCUAUGAGAACGGAUCCAGGACAGCUUUUGGUCUCAUGCUAAGGUAAAACAUCCUCUUGAGGACUCUAUCCAAUGUAACGCUUCCUACAAGCUCCCUCCACUAUCACUGGUGGGAAUCUGACCCAUUCCAGCCCUGGGUGAGCUCUAUCAAUUGGUCAGUCUUCUUCCUGAUGGUUCUUUCCCUAACUUUGUGGUGUUUCACCCCCAGUUGUGUGCAAAUCAAUGGCCAAAGUUUCGAGGCCCCUUCUACAGAUUUCCAGAAACCUUUAUGAGCAGCACCCUUCUCUCCAGAAUUCUUCCCGCACAAAUCCUAGUCUCCUCAGCCUCAACCCAUGUCUUAUCAAUCCAACCUUCAGCCUCUUUUCA
Non-coding RNA from Odocoileus virginianus texanus, 4819 nucleotides. NCBI's taxonomy places the organism in Eukaryota, Metazoa, Chordata, Mammalia, Artiodactyla, Cervidae. The record is from RefSeq and is a predicted model, not a curated record.